Molecule: ribosomal RNA, 402 nt
Filed under: Verrucomicrobiota bacterium
Lineage: Bacteria; Pseudomonadati; Verrucomicrobiota
Description: Verrucomicrobia bacterium partial 16S ribosomal RNA
Rfam family: Bacterial small subunit ribosomal RNA
Source: RNAcentral
UGGGGAAUAUUGCACAAUGGGCGCAAGCCUGAUGCAGCAACGCCGCGUGAACGAUGAAGGUCUUCGGAUCGUAAAGUUCUGUUGCAGGGGAAGAUAAUGACGGUACCCUGUGAGGAAGCCCCGGCUAACUACGUGCCAGCAGCCGCGGUAAUACGUAGGGGGCUAGCGUUAUCCGGAUUUACUGGGCGUAAGGGUGCGUAGGUGGUACUUCAAGUCGGUGGUUAAAGGCUACGGCUCAACCGUAGUAAGCCGCCGAAACUGGAGGACUUGAGUGCAGGAGAGGAAAGUGGAAUUCCCAGUGUAGCGGUGAAAUGCGUAGAUAUUGGGAGGAACACCAGUAGCGAAGGCGGCUUUCUGGACUGCAACUGACACUGAGGCACGAAAGCGUGGGUAGCAAACAGG